Molecule: long non-coding RNA, 1771 nt
Organism: Coregonus clupeaformis (lake whitefish)
Lineage: Eukaryota; Metazoa; Chordata; Actinopteri; Salmoniformes; Salmonidae
Exons: 3
Source: RefSeq, a predicted model, not a curated record
GAGGAGGAGAAGGAUAUGGGGGGAGGAGGAGGAGGAGGAGGAGAAGAAGAUGGAGAAGGAGAAGGAGAAAGACACUACUGCUAGUGAAAAAAUAAAUGCUCAGGGCGAGGGCUUGGAUGGAUCUGAACUAACUCCAACCAACAGCACUCAGACCAAAGAUCCCACAGAGAUGAAAGAAUGACCAGCAGGAGGAGGAGGGACAAUCAACCAGCCAACAGUGUGAAGAAUGACAGUACCUCUACACCCUCUGAUACUGCAGGACCAGAGGAAAAAGAACCAGUCAUCCAACAUAACAUAACGCAUUCACCUGUUUUACUUUUUAAUUACUUUGUGAAUCUUUAUUAUAAUGAAAUGAUGUAAUCUGUCAUCAAUGAAAUUAAUAAUCAAUCAAUCUUUAUUUAGAAAUCUGUCAUUCAUUAAAUGAAUCAUUGAUCAAAAUCAAAUAUGUAUGUAAAACAAUUAACAUGUAAUAGAGGACUCUAACAUAUCUAACUGAAGAGAGGAGUGGUGAGACACCUGUCAGUCUGUUAGAUCUAACUGAAGAGAUGAUUGGUGAGAUACCUGGCAGUCUGUUAGAUCUAACUGAAGAGAUGAGUGGUGAGACACCUGGCAGUCUAUUAGAUCUAACUGAAGAGAUGAGUGGUGAGACACCUGGCAGUCUAUUAGAUCUAACUGAAGAGAUGAUUGGUGAGAUACCUGGCAGUCUAUUAGAUCUAACUGAAGAGAUGAUUGGUGAGAUACCUGUUAGUCUGUUAGAUCUAACUGAAGAGAUGAUUGGUGAGAUACCUGGCAGUCUGUUAGAUCUAACUGAAGAGAUGAGUGGUGAGACACCUGGCAGUCUAUUAGAUCUAACUGAAGAGAUGAUUGGUGAGAUACAUGGCAGUCUGUUAGAUCUAACUGAAGAGAUGAGUGGUGAGACACCUGGCAGUCUAUUAGAUCUAACUGAAGAGAUGAUUGGUGAGAUACCUGGCAGUCUGUUAGAUCUAACUGAAGAGAUGAGUGGUGAGACACCUGGCAGUCUGUUAGAUCUAACUGAAGAGAUGAUUGGUGAGAUACCUGGCAGUCUGUUAGAUCUAACUGAAGAGAUGAGUGGUGAGACAUCUAACUACUACUAAUAGCCAUUCCCAUAUUAGCCAUAGUGCCAGAGGACUAAACCUUCUGUUGGACUACCCUUCCAUUCUACACCCUUAUAUUGAGAAUAUGAAUCAUAUCUAAACAUAAUAUCUCUGUUACAUUCCAUCUAGAACAUUGUGGGAGUGUUCCAUCUAACCUUGCAUGCCAUCUAGAACAUUGUGGGAGUGUUCCACCUAACCUUACACGCCAUCUAGAGUCUAGAACAUUGUGGGAGCAUUCCAUCUAACCUUACAUGCCAUCUAGAGUCUAGAACAUUGUGGGAGCAUUCCAUCUAACCUUACAUGCCAUCUAGAGUCUAGAACAUUGUGGGAGCAUUCCAUCUAACCUUACACGCCAUCUAGAGUCUAGAACAUUGUGGGAGCAUUCCAUCUAACCUUACAUGCCAUCUAGAGUCUAGAACAUUGUGGGAACAUUCCAUCUAACCUUACACGCCAUCUAGAGUCUAGAACAUUGUGGGAGCAUUCCAUCUAACCUUACAUGCCAUCUAGAGUCUAGAACAUUGUGGGAGCAUUCCAUCUAACCUUACACGCCAUCUAGAGUCUAGAACAUUGUGGGAGCGUGGAACUGUAAAAACACCAGAACACCACAUGACACACACACAGGAGUACACCACAACAUCAUCAACACACACACACAC